GCAUCACACCGGAUUGGAUUGAC
Molecule: non-coding RNA, 23 nt
Filed under: Arabidopsis thaliana (thale cress)
Lineage: Eukaryota; Viridiplantae; Streptophyta; Magnoliopsida; Brassicales; Brassicaceae
Source: RNAcentral